RNAcentral lists this long non-coding RNA (607 nucleotides) under Amphimedon queenslandica. RNAcentral's name for it is "uncharacterized LOC109592478, transcript variant X1". The record is from RNAcentral. Lineage: Eukaryota; Metazoa; Porifera; Demospongiae; Haplosclerida; Niphatidae.
UACGGGCGAUAUUGAAGAAAUUUUAGUUAGUUGUAUACCAACACUUGAUCCUUUUAUUGACAUUUCUGAUGGUGGGGCAUAUGCUUGUUCAUAUCAAUUUAUUACUAUUUUAACGUUAUCAUUUUGUUUAGCGUUUUUCCUACACAAAAAGUUAAAGUGUAUAUGCUGAUAAGGACCUUAGUGUAUAGAUUGCUUCUUCUGUUAUUGUUAUCAUUAUUUCUUGAUUUAUUUGUUCAUUAAUUUUUUAUAAAUGUGUUACUGGCACUAGAUUAAAGGUGGAUCUGUAUUUUAAGUGUGAAAACUGCUUAUGGUAUUUGUUCAUUGAUUAUUGUUUUAUUAGAAUUAAUUUGUUUAAAGGUCCUACUUGUGCAAAUAGAGUAUCGAAGAGUAAAAGUAAAAGCGCAUUCUCUAUCUCAGGAUUUAAAUAAAGAAGUUGCCUUUUCUGUUAAUGUACAAUGAACAUCUCAUAAUCAAGAAACAGUUUGUUCUAUGGACAUUGCCGUAUUCUUUAAAAGAUUGUGUUAAUGGUUGCUGAAUUCAUUAAGGCAUCAGAUUCAAUGAAGGACCAUUAAUAAUAUAGCAUUGAUAUUGCCUGAGCACAGAUGGC